This 465-nucleotide ribosomal RNA is filed under the name uncultured bacterium. Its description in RNAcentral is "partial 16S ribosomal RNA". It matches the Rfam family "Bacterial small subunit ribosomal RNA", at positions 339 to 795 of the family's 1533-position model. The record is from RNAcentral.
CUACGGGGGGCUGCAGUAGGGAAUAUUGGACAAUGGGGGAAACCCUGAUCCAGCAAUGCCGCGUGUGUGAAGAAGGCCUGCGGGUUGUAAAGCACUUUCGGUUGGGAGGACUGCUUCUAGCACUAAUAUUGUUGGAAGUUGACGUUACCUUCAGAAGAAGCACCGGCUAACUCCGUGCCAGCAGCCGCGGUAAUACGGAGGGUGCAAGCGUUAAUCGGAAUUACUGGGCGUAAAGCGCGCGUAGGCGGCUAGAUCAGUCGGGUGUGAAAGCCCCGGGCUUAACCUGGGAACUGCAUCCGAUACUGUCUAGCUUGAGUACAGGAGAGGAGAGUGGAAUUCCACAUGUAGCGGUGAAAUGCGUAGAUAUGUGGAGGAACACCAAUGGCGAAGGCAGCUCUCUGGCCUGAUACUGACGCUGAGGUGCGAAAGCGUGGGGAUCAAACAGGAUUAGAUACCCCUGUAGUC